Long non-coding RNA from Austrofundulus limnaeus, 1231 nucleotides. RefSeq lists it as uncharacterized. The record is from RefSeq and is a predicted model, not a curated record. NCBI's taxonomy places the organism in Eukaryota, Metazoa, Chordata, Actinopteri, Cyprinodontiformes, Rivulidae. The transcript has 4 exons.
UCACGAUUGCCUCGGAGCGCGGAGCUGAGAGCUCGGACUGUUGGUGUGAUCCGCAGGGGCGAGAGCUCCUCCAUCACCGCUAACAGACAGACCUGUCCGUGGGCCACAUGAUGGAUGAUGGGAGACAGGUGUGACCAACAGCGCGACCCGACAACUCCCAUCAGGUGCGUUUGGGUUUUAAACCUGGAAAGUCCGGUGGAUUCUGAGGAGCAUCCGAUCCUCCCUGGAGACCUCGAACAGGAAGAGGGAAGACAAUUUCUCAGACAAGCUGCAGCAUGUCUAGGAUAUGCGUCUCCGUACAGAUCUCCAGAGUACAUCAACGCUCUGAGGAGAGGGGAACAAAUUUAUGAUACCAGCGUUAAAGAGGAAGAAACGGUUCAAUUUAAACUCAAAGAAAAGUAAAACUAAAGCUGUAAUCCAACUCCUCGCUACACGAGGAAUCAAGCUCGGACUUCAAAAAGAGCCGCAUGAUAUUGGGAAAACUUGUGAUGUGCAACAAACCCUCAAUUUCCCUUCUAUCAUCUAAACCAGCAGUGGCCAAUCCUCUCAGGUAUGAAUGAAUAAGUGAUUAACAGGCUUGAGGAGCAGGGGAACUAAGACAUUCACAUUAGUGGCCCUGCUGAUCUAAAGCAGUAACAAUUUUGUCAAAUUUCAGAGCUUGACAGCUUCAUAUUUGGCCUCUUUGAAGCAAAUUAUAAAAUGCAUAUUUCACUGUUUGUGCUGUAUUUUCAAAUGUAACAGACUCAAAACCAGCAAUAAAAUUAUGAGGUGAAGAUUGCUAAAAACUGAAAGCUGUUAAAAUAAAAACUAAAUAGAGCACACUUCUAACCAGCUAUUUAUUAAAGUAUUUACAGAUACUAUUGUACAUGCUAUGUCGUCAUUGUGAAAUGCAUUGUGGUCUUGAUAUAUCCAUGCCUAUUUCUCAUUUGUUAAAAUACACUUAAUCUAAGCAGUGUUCAUAUCUACUCAUGUUUCAGCUGUGCUCUGAAGGCACUGCAUGUUGAGGACAUUUUCUCACAAUGUAAAAUACCAAUAAAACAAAGUACAACUGGAUAUAAAAGUCAAUUAAAAAGGAAAAAACAAGGCGUAAAGACUAGAGCAGAGCGCCGAACAGGCGGUGCUCAAUUUCAUGCAUGCACAUUAGUACCUGUAAAAAAGGUCAGUAACCAGGAUAGAUCUAUUUGGAUUUAUCUUUUUGGUGCAAACCAUUUGAGCUACAGAGACGAAGUGU